Molecule: unclassified non-coding RNA, 1479 nt
Filed under: Hevea brasiliensis (rubber tree)
Lineage: Eukaryota; Viridiplantae; Streptophyta; Magnoliopsida; Malpighiales; Euphorbiaceae
Source: RNAcentral
GUCUAUUCAGCUGUCUUUGCAAGUCUCUCUACAGUUAAGUAACAGCCGAAAUCUAAUGAGACAGGGAUGGAAAUCGAUUUGAAGGAGAAGACAUUUGUCGAAGUCGACGGCACCAACUCAGGAGACGGCGGUGGAGAAGACGGCGCCGGCAGCGGAGAUGAUUUGUUGCUGGCUGUAGGAGAGGGAGGCGGAAGCGGCCAAGCAUGUAGAGACAGAGUUAAAGGCCCUUGGUCCCCUGAAGAGGAUGCGAUCCUCAGUCGAUUAGUCAGCAAAUUUGGCGCCAGGAAUUGGAGCUUGAUCGCCCGAGGAAUCGCCGGGAGAUCUGGUAAGUCUUGCCGGCUCCGGUGGUGUAAUCAGCUUGACCCGGCUGUUAAGCGCAAGCCAUUUACUGAUGAGGAAGAUCAUAUCAUAGCUGCGGCCCAUGCAGUUCAUGGAAAUAAAUGGGCAGUAAUUGCAAGACUUCUACCAGGUAGAACAGAUAAUGCUAUUAAGAACCAUUGGAAUUCUACUCUAAGACGGAGAAGCACAGAGCGUGAGAGGUUAAGGUUGGCGUCUGGAAAUGUGGACCAAGAUGCUACCUUGGACAAAGCCAAAGCAUCAUCUGAAGAAACUCUGUCUUGUGGGGAUGCAAAUUCAUUUAAAUCUUUUGAAGGAAAAGACGGAAGCUCUUUGGAUAAUAUGAAUGAUCAGUGUGAAGAAAAAGCACCAUUAGAGGUUCCAUCAAAUAAUGAAGCAAAAGAAUCAUCUACGCUUUUCCGUCCCAGGGCACGUGUUAGUGCAUUCAGUGUUUAUAAUCCUGUGGACGGCCCAGAAAUUGCUUCACCGUGUUCAAGGCCAGUUCCAAUGGUAGGACCUUUGAUUCAAGCUUCAAUACCAGAUGAUGGAAUUUGCAAAUUGCUUGAUGGGAUUUACAAUGAGCGGUUGGUUCCUCAGCAGUGUGGCCAUGGCUGUUGUGAGGCCCAAAAUGGUAAUAAUCCUCGGAAUUCUUUGUUGGGUCCAGAAUUUGUGGAUUUCCUAGAUCCCCCAUCUUUUCCAAGUUUUGAGUUGGCUGCCAUAGCAACAGAUAUAAGUAACCUUGCUUGGCUCAAAAGUGGAUUGGAGAAUAACAGUGUCAGAGUCAUGGGUGACACUGCUGGCAGAAUAGCACCUCAUGGAUCUCAAGCGCAAAUGGGGCAUCUUUAAGAAAGCAGGGUGAGUGGUAAUUUCCUUUUUGACAAGGGAAAGCAAGUUAAUGGGUGUCGCAACCAACAUGAUAUGAUCAUAGAUUGGUAGCCCUUUUCAUUUUGCACUGGUUAUCAUCAGGGUUUUGGAUUGAGGUGAACAAUGGCAUCUCCAUGUUUAACUGGGGUUGCUAAAAGACUAACAUAUUUAUAAGAAUGAUAUAUAUUGUCGAAAGAGCUAGAUCUUCCCCCAACAUAUUUAUAAGAAGGAUAUAUACUGAGCUAGGUAUUAUAUUGUCGAAAGAGCUAGAUCUUCCCC